Non-coding RNA from Daphnia pulex (common water flea), 74 nucleotides. The record is from Rfam. Lineage: Eukaryota; Metazoa; Arthropoda; Branchiopoda; Diplostraca; Daphniidae.
GGCCUGUUAGCUCAGUUGGUUAGAGCACCUUGCUAUUAACGCGGAGGUCAUGAGUUCCAUCUACUUACGGGCCA